CCACCAUUGUAAAUCAAAUACUUGCCACGACUAAAUGAAUUCUCUGACUCAACCACGGGAAGCGAAUCAUUCACAUUUUCCCCAACAACAGGUAACAUCACUGCCUGUUGUUGCUGGGCAGGAGUCUUUUCAAAUCCAGGUUUCUGAUUCUUCUUCUUCUUCCUUGCAUUUACACCCGUAUGGUAAUCCCCAAUUCCCACAACACUAAGUGUACAAUUCUCUGACCUAGCUAUCACAAACCGCCUGUAAUCCUUGUAAAAUGCAGCAGUCUUCCCUUCCUUAGGCCUAAAUCGCCAGGCCAUGUCACAACUACUAUCAUUAUUGGCAGGAACCGGUUUCCCAAACCUAUAAAAAUGUAUAUCCUUAAACUGCUCUAUUGCCUUUCUCAUCAUCAAAUGAAACACUUCUGGAUCCCUACAGUCUAUAGGACCAGCACAAUUCUCAGCAGUUAUUUCAGGGGUACCAUCACCACCAGCACCACCAUCCUUGGGGGUUUCUACAUCCGUAAUGUUGAUAAAAGUGGCAAAUGCAGUCUGGUUUGAGGCCAUGAAAUCCUCCCCGGUUUUCACUACAGUAUUAUCGGAUUUAAACGUGGCAUUUGAGGUUGAUGUAAGGAAUGUGUUGAUCUUUGUUGAUGGAUGAAAAAGCGGGUCCUC
This 656-nucleotide unclassified non-coding RNA is filed under the name Hevea brasiliensis (rubber tree). Lineage: Eukaryota; Viridiplantae; Streptophyta; Magnoliopsida; Malpighiales; Euphorbiaceae. The record is from RNAcentral.